RNAcentral lists this transfer RNA (66 nucleotides) under Prauserella sediminis. RNAcentral's name for it is "tRNA-OTHER". The record is from RNAcentral. Lineage: Bacteria; Bacillati; Actinomycetota; Actinomycetes; Pseudonocardiales; Pseudonocardiaceae.
AGUGCCCCACCAGUGGCUACCUUGACACGGUAGAGGUCACUGGUUCGAUCCCAGUAUCGCGCACCA